CAGGACGAACGCUGGCGGCGUGCUUAACACAUGCAAGUCACGGGGGCCCGCAAGGGCAACCGGCGAACGGGUGCGUAACACGUGAGCAAGUUACCGAUUUCUGGGGGAUAGCCGGCCCAACGGCCGGGUAAUACCGCAUACGUUCACUGGACGGCAUCGUCCGGUGAGGAAACCUCCGGGGGAAAUCGAGACGCUCGCGGCCUAUCAGCUAGUUGGCGGGGUAACGGCCCACCAAGGCGAUGACGGGUAGCUGGUCUGAGAGGAUGGCCAGCCACAUUGGGACUGCGACACGGCCCAGACUCCUACGGGAGGCAGCAGUGGGGAAUAUUGCGCAAUGGACGAAAGUCUGACGCAGCGACGCCGCGUGUGGGAUGAAGCUCUUCGGGGUGUAAACCACUGUUGCCCGGGACGAAACCCUCCUUUCGAGGAGAUUGACGGUACCGGGUGAGGAAGCACCGGCUAACUCUGUGCCAGCAGCCGCGGUAAUACAGAGGGUGCGAGCGUUGUCCGGAAUCACUGGGCGUAAAGGGCGCGUAGGUGGCUUGGUAAGCGUGUGGUGAAAGUCCGGGGCUCAACCCCGGAUCUGCCGUGCGAACUGCUGAGCUUGAGCAUUGUAGAGGCAGGUGGAAUUCCGGGUGUAGCGGUGGAAUGCGUAGAGAUCCGGAAGAACACCAGUGGCGAAGGCGGCCUGCUGGGCAAUAGCUGACACUGAGGCGCGACAGCGUGGGGAGCAAACAGGAUUAGAUACCCUGGUAGUCCACGCCGUAAACGAUGGGUACUAGGUGUCUGGGGGAGCGACCCCCUGGGUGCCGGCGCUAACGCAUGAAGUACCCCGCCUGGGGAGUACGGCCGCAAGGCUGAAACUCAAAGGAAUUGACGGGGGCCCGCACAAGCGGUGGAGCAUGUGGUUUAAUUCGACGCAACGCGAAGAACCUUACCUAGGCUUGACAUGCUGGAGAAAGCUUGCGGAAACGUGAGCCCCUCUUCGGAGUUCCAGCACAGAUGCUGCAUGGCUGUCGUCAGCUCGUGUCGUGAGAUGUUGGGUUAAGUCCCGCAACGAGCGCAACCCUCACCCUUAGUUACCAGCGGGUAAAGCCGGGGACUCUAGGGGGACUGCCGGUGCCAAACCGGAGGAAGGUGGGGAUGACGUCAAGUCAUCAUGGCUCUUACGUCUAGGGCUACACACGUGCUACAAUGGGCCGGACAGAGGGUCGCCAACUCGCGAGAGUGCGCCAAUCCCCAAACCGGUCCUCAGUUCGGAUUGUAGUCUGCAACUCGACUACAUGAAGCUGGAAUCGCUAGUAAUCGUAGAUCAGCUACGCUACGGUGAAUACGUUCCCGGGCCUUGUACACACCGCCCGUCGCGCCAUGGAAGUUGUGAGCGCCCGAAGUCGGUGUCGGAACCCGCAAGGGACCAAGCCGCCUAAGGCGAG
This 1433-nucleotide ribosomal RNA is filed under the name uncultured organism. Its description in RNAcentral is "16S ribosomal RNA". It matches the Rfam family "Bacterial small subunit ribosomal RNA". The record is from RNAcentral.